CGCGUAGGCGGCCUGCUAAGUCUGGAGUGAAAGUCCUGCUUUCAAGGUGGGAAUUGCUUUGGAUACUGGUGGGCUGGAGUGCAGGAGAGGAAAGCGGAAUUACCGGUGUAGCGGUGAAAUGCGUAGAGAUCGGUAGGAACACCAGUGGCGAAGGCGGCUUUCUGGACUGAAACUGACGCUGAGGAGCGAAAGCGUGGGGAGCGAACA
This 207-nucleotide ribosomal RNA is filed under the name uncultured bacterium. RNAcentral describes it as "partial 16S ribosomal RNA". It matches the Rfam family "Bacterial small subunit ribosomal RNA", at positions 568 to 774 of the family's 1533-position model. The record is from RNAcentral.